RNAcentral lists this ribosomal RNA (255 nucleotides) under uncultured bacterium. RNAcentral describes it as "partial 16S ribosomal RNA". It matches the Rfam family "Bacterial small subunit ribosomal RNA", at positions 524 to 776 of the family's 1533-position model. The record is from RNAcentral.
UACAGAGGUCCCAAGCGUUGUUCGGAUUCACUGGGCGUAAAGGGUGCGUAGGCGGUUGGGUAAGUCUGAUGUGAAAUCUCACAGCUUAACUGUGAAACUGCAUUGGAUACUAUCCGGCUAGAGGAAUGGAGGGGAGACUGGAAUACUUGGUGUAGCAGUGAAAUGCGUAGAUAUCAAGUGGAACACCAGUGGCGAAGGCGAGUCUCGUGGACAUUUCCUGACGCUGAGGCACGAAAGCCAGGGGGAGCAAACGGG